GGCUACUCGCUCACAUCCCUGCUUACGUUCGCCUGGCACAGACCUAAUUUCCGCAUUCCCGAGUCCUCCCAGAUCGGGAUCACGUUUUUUAAAAUCGCGCUGAUGCAACGAUUUCCACUUUUUAAAAUCUACUCUCGACCCUCGGCUGACCAGAAGAAGGGACAUUUGUUGCACCUGGGAUCAGAGUCAGCUGCGGUCGCGGCCGAGUCUGACGCGAUGCCAGGACGAAUCCCAGAUCCCUCUGUGACAGCGGGCUCCCUGCCCAGCCUGGGCCCCCUGGCUGGGAUCUCUGCCACCACGCUGACGGACAAGCUCAAAUUCGGCGACUUCCACGAGUUCGGCGCGAUGCUGUCGCCUCUGCACUUCCUGGACGGUCUGGGGAGGAGGCCCCUGGUGAUCAAAACAGAGAGAGAUGAGGAAGACGACAGGAGGAAACAAAGGCGGGAAAAAAACAAAGUGGCCGCGGCGCGAUGUCGAAACAAGAAGAAGGAGAGAACGGAUUAUCUUCAAAAUGAAUCGGAGCGACUGGAGACGUUGAACUCCGACCUGAAGGCCCAGAUCGUGGAGCUGAAGCUGGAGCGACAGCAGCUGAUCCUCCUGCUGAACCGGCACCGGCCCACGUGCAUCGUCAGGACGGACAGCGCCAAGACGCCGGAGAGCGAGGCCGAGUGACGCCGCCGAAGGACGUGGAUCCUGCAGCUGAAUCGCAUAUUCUUUGUCUCUCUCUGGCUCUCACGUUUUUUCUUUCUUUGUGUUUUUUUUCUUCUUUUUGUUGUUGUCAUUGUGAUCAUCAGAGCUCCAGGCACUGAUCAUUUCUGACAGGGAGGUUUUCAUGGAUCUGCUGAGGGAACGCUUUGUUCCAGCAGUUUGAUAGAAAUUAUAACCGCGGAAAAGACGAGGUGAUUUAUUAUUUGUCUAAUGAAGCAUAUUUAAUGUUUGACCUUAUUCCCUUCACUUCAUGUCGUGUUCAUUUUGCAACCAUUUCAAAUGACUUAUUUUUACUUUAUCGUUUAUUAAAUGAACUAGGGGAACAAUAGUGUAAUAUAAUACUUUUAUGCGAUCAGAUUGGGUAUUUAAUUCACAUUUGACCCAGAUAAAAGUAUAAUAACAAGCUACUUACAGGAAAACCAGCUACCAACAAGGCCCACUUUGUUCUCUACUUGGAGAAAGAUUAUAAUCAGAAAAUAUGACGGAAAAAAGUUACAUCAUACAUUUUCAUAUGGAGUCAGUUUGUUUAUUUUACAUGUCAUGUGUUUGUCUUAUCUGUUGACUGACUGAC
RNA transcript from Pungitius pungitius (ninespine stickleback), 1279 nucleotides. It is a transcript of the gene named jun dimerization protein 2-like, with no coding region annotated. The transcript has 5 exons. Lineage: Eukaryota; Metazoa; Chordata; Actinopteri; Perciformes; Gasterosteidae. The record is from RefSeq and is a predicted model, not a curated record.